RNAcentral lists this transfer RNA (73 nucleotides) under Staphylothermus marinus F1. RNAcentral's name for it is "tRNA-His (GTG) (tRNA-His-GTG-1-1)". It matches the Rfam family "tRNA". From Rfam's summary of the family: Transfer RNA (tRNA) molecules are approximately 80 nucleotides in length. Their secondary structure includes four short double-helical elements and three loops (D, anti-codon, and T loops). RNAcentral also lists the same sequence under 1 other name. The record is from RNAcentral. Lineage: Archaea; Thermoproteati; Thermoproteota; Thermoprotei; Desulfurococcales; Desulfurococcaceae.
GCCCGGGUAGCUCAGCCGGUAGAGCGCCGGGCUGUGGACCCGGAGGUCCCGGGUUCAAAUCCCGGCCCGGGCC